Molecule: long non-coding RNA, 2465 nt
Organism: Equus caballus (horse)
Lineage: Eukaryota; Metazoa; Chordata; Mammalia; Perissodactyla; Equidae
Source: Ensembl
AAGAGAGCAACUUUCUAUCUGGUGGUAGAGUCGGAAUAAACUAUGUAGGUAGGAGUUGCCUGUGGCCAUGGGUCUCAUCUUGUUGGGAACUCACUUGGAGAGAAGGAAGCCAGUAGAUUGAGAGAAGCAAAGGCAAGCAAUGUCUUGAAGAAUCAGCUCUCUUUUGGUUGUGACUUAGUUCUAAACAACUGCAGCCCCAGAAGACGUUCAGGGGCAGAGGUGGUGCGCAUCUUCUGUUAUAAUUGACCUGGGCUUUGAGAUUUCUCUGUCAUGAUGUAUCCCAGAAUGUUGCAUGAUGGGAAGACCCUUGUUAUUCCUUCACCAGCCGAGCCAAACGGACAAGAUCAAACAGCUAUGCUCAAACACGGCAAUUGAUCCAGAACCAGAAGCUGGGACCCAGUGUUGCAGUUCAUGGUGUAAUUGCAGACAGGCUAAGAAAGCCCUGCCGCAUCCCCUGACCCCCUCUGCUUCCCGCCUCUCAGGAGCAGUAUCAACUGGCGGCUUUCUGCAAUCUACCUUCGUGGGACCAUGGCUUUUUUACUUAAGGCUAAAAUCUUUGUUUAAACACAAAACCUUGAGAGGGAUCAUAUUUAAGGUGGUACAAGGUGAAGAAAUCCUAUCACAGAAGGAAACUUUGAAAGAAUUGGAUCUGAUUUGGUUAAAAAAAAGAAGGAAGAAAGAAAAAAAACAAGGAGAGAUAUGUCUUCAAAUAUUUGAAGAAUUUUAAAAGAAGUCAACUUGCUUUUGCUUCUACCAAAAGCACAAUGGGAACCAAGAGUGAAAGCUGUCUGUUUUCUGUUCUACAUUAAGAAAGAAUUUACCAACACUUGACGCUGCCCAAGUGUAGAAUGGCCGUCCUGGGGAAGUUGUGGGUACCCCUUUAUUAUAAGAUCUCAGCAGGGAUACUGGAGACAGAGUCCUCUCCCUUAUGGGUUCUUCCAAUCCUAAAUUCUGUAGCUCUUUGGUUAAUGUUCUAUAUCUUUGUGCAAGUGUUUAUGGCUGUUAUUUGUGUGAUUAAGAAAAUUUUAUUAAAAACACUGAAAAACACAAAUAAAGUAAAAAUCACCCAUAAUCCCACCACUUAAAGAUUGAUCAAGGAAAGAAGCAAAGUCCUUGGCCCCUCUAAUUCUGUCCUCCAUUGUUCAUAGUUUGGCUAAAUUCAUUAAAACUAAAGGAAGGCAAUUGAUAAUAUUAAUGACAGUUAAUGAAAAGGAAUAGAUGACAUGGUAUUGGUUGAUACAUGUGUGUGCAGAUAUAUUUUUUCUGUCAUAUAUAUAUAUAUAUAUACACAUACAAUUUUAGAGCUGACUGAUUCAAAUCACACCUUGAACUACAUCUGAACCAACAUUAAGAAUGGAAAUUGACUUUUUAUAAAAAAAACUUCAUUUUAUGAUAUUUUAAAAUUUCCUCUUUUACCUAACUGCUAAAUACAACUGAGGGUUUUCCCUUUGGGGGAGUGUCUUCUGUUUCAUUUUGGCUUCAGGGUAAAAUGAGGCAGCGUGUGCGAGUGAGUGCAGACAUGAGGAGAGGUGGCAAUAGUGCAUUUACCCACGGGAUGCAAGGGUGAUCUGCGAGAGUGCUCCCAGAGCAGUUACUUGUUAUGUUUCCCCAUAAACCUGUUCCUCCUCUUGUCUUCCUUAUCUCAGGAGAAGGCACCUUCCAUGCAGUUGAACGGGCCAAGAACACAGGAGUCAUCCUUGAUUUCUCUCUUUCUCACACUCCACAUCCAGCUCGUCAGCAAGUCCUAAGGACCCUGCCUCCAAAGAGAUUCCAAAUCUGACCAUGCCCCUCCACCACCACUAUCCUUAUCCGGGUGACCAGCAUCUCCUGCGUGGGAUAUGAUAACAGACUCCCUGUUUCCUAUCUUGCUUACUAGAAUCCUUCUGCUUUUGGCACUCAGAGUAACUUUUUAAAUUAAUAUAAAUUCAGUCACGUCACUCCUCUGCUUAAAACUCUCCAAUGGCCUCCCAUCAGAUUUAGCAAACAUUCCAAACUCCUUACUCUGGCUAUAAAGCUCUUGCUGACCUGACCCUGACUGCCUCUUUGACACCCUCUCCUAUGCUGUCCCCAGCCAUCCUGACCUUUGGUUUGGUCCUCAUGGUCACUAAGCUGGUGCCCACCUGGGAGCCUCUUUAUUACUGGCACCCUCUGUCUGGAAUGUCACUCACUCAUUGAUGCUUGUGCAUGUCCUUCUUUUGAUUCAGAGCUCAGCUUAGAUGUCACCUCACAGAGAUGCUUCCCUUGAUGGCCUCAUCUGAAGUAGUUACUCUACAUCUCAUCCCCUUACUUUAAUUUUCUGCAUCCCAUCAUCUUAUUUUAAUUCUCUAUAUAGCUCUUAUAUGCUCAGAUUUAUUUCUCUCUCUUUUCUGUCUUCCCCUCUCUCUUACUUUCUUGUCUAUCUCCCCUGCUAGAAUGCAAGAUGCCCUUGUUGACCCGUGAAUCCUCAGCUCCGAGACCAAAGUCUG